RNAcentral lists this non-coding RNA (23 nucleotides) under Arabidopsis thaliana (thale cress). The record is from RNAcentral. Lineage: Eukaryota; Viridiplantae; Streptophyta; Magnoliopsida; Brassicales; Brassicaceae.
GCAUUCUGAUGCGUGGUAGGACU